Long non-coding RNA from Oreochromis niloticus (Nile tilapia), 1959 nucleotides. RefSeq lists it as uncharacterized. The transcript is spliced from 2 exons. The record is from RefSeq and is a predicted model, not a curated record. NCBI's taxonomy places the organism in Eukaryota, Metazoa, Chordata, Actinopteri, Cichliformes, Cichlidae.
GGAGGGUCUGUGGUUGAAUGUUUAAAUGCAGUUUGCCGACAUCUUGGUGCAGAACACCAAAGAGGAAGUGAAUCUGUGAAACGGGAGUCGUUGUGGGCGGCGCGUUUAGUGCCUCAUUGAUAAAUGUUGGGCUGCAGCAUGUUGACCAAUGCUGCCCAUCCUGCUCUGCUGCAUUGUUACCUGCACAGGUGAACUGCAGACACAAACACAUGACCUGUGGCCUCUUUGUGUCUCUGUCACGGUGACGCUUCACGCUCUGGUUCAUCAGAGACAGUUUCGCACUAAUCGUCAACAGGAAGCGCCAAACAUGGACUGAACCUGAGAGCGUGGACGCUGUCGUCAUUUUUAUAAUGAUGAUAAAAACAAGUGAAAUUGAUGUCACAGAGAAAAACUGACCUUUUUUAGUCUAACGUGACGGGUGAGGCUUUCAGCUGCUCAGUGAUGUCAUCAGGACUAAAGGUCUGUUUGAGAUUACCUGAAACACACAGAGCUUUAUGAACACAAGGUGAGUGAAGAAGAAACCCGCAGUGCAUCAUGGGAACCCCCGGCAGCCUCUCUCGGGUCAAGCAUCUCCGAGACAAAGUUAAUGAUCGGCUCUCUUGUUUGUUUCCUUGUAAGUGUGACACCAUGCCCUACCUGGAAUCCACCUGUGCAGGUAUUUCACAGGCUGUUUGUUCUCCGAGAGGUUGAACCGGUUGGGCUGGUUCACCUGAGAGGAGGCGGAGCCCUCAUCUGUUUGUUUGAAGGUCAGCUGAAGCCAUGACAGAGCCUCCACUGUGGUUCGCAGAUGUGGGACCUCCUUGUACGUACUGAUGUGGAUCCAUCGCUCCAUCAGACCUGCUGCUCUGAUCUUCAGUCCAGUUCUCGUGUCGUUUUCAGACCUCAGUCUUUCCUCCUGUGUCCCUUCAUUUAGAACGAUGUCCUGACAGCCGUCCUUCACUGAGACCUGUCUGAUGAGGCUUCAGUGGAUACUAGGGCUACGUCCACACUGAUGCGUUUUCAUUUGAAAACGCAUCGUUUUCCCUCCGUUUUGGCCUCCCGUCCACACUGAGACGGCGCUUUCCUCAAGGAAAAACGCAGCGUUUUGAAAACGCUCUCGAAAACACAUACAUUUCGAAACACAGCUGUCCCGUCGCAGUGUGGACGCUCGAAAACGCAGACUUUCUAAAACGAUGAUGUAUUUUAGUCAUGUGAUGCAGUCAUGUGACCAAAUAAACAAAGAUAGCGGAGGGCAUUAUACAGCAGUUGUUUUGAUAGCUCUCAAUUUUGACAGCCCUAAAAAAGAUUAAUAUCAGUCUGUACAUGCUGCAGAUAGCUUUUCUUCAAAUUCUUUAAUUAUCACUCGCUUUUGCGCAUGCGCAAGACUGGAAGGUAAGCGCUUUCAUCCGUUUCAAUGGACACGCAACUCUGUGAAAACGACAGAAAACGCUAGUGUGGCCGAGCGUUUUUAGACGAAAACGCCGUUUACAAAUCUAUCCGGGCUAGUGUGGGCAUAGCCUAGAUGAUGGUUAUUAGUAGAUGAUGCUACUUUGAGUGUUAGUUUGACACUUUUUAAGUUCUUACUGUGAGGAGGGCAUGUGACAAGCGUCUGACUCCAGAGUCUGAGGCUCGUCAGGGAAGGUAUAUUUACCAAACUAACAAGUGUUAAAACUCUCUCAUGUUAGUAUUGUUUAGUUUUCCACGGUGACUAACCUUGUUAGUUUUCUUUUUUUUCCAAACAUCUAGUUUUCUUAUUUUUAUUUCAGUGAGCUAUGACGACCUUGACAAAGAGCCUAAAGACAGUUUAAAACUGGUUCUUUGCUCAGGUGUCUGUUAUGAGCAGAGACAAGACUGGCUCAUCUUUGCAUCAGGAGCCUGAGGUCAGAGUUCAGAGGUCAACAAACAAACUCACUCCUUCAGGAAGCUGGAGAUCUGUUGCUCAAGAGCACUUUGGAAAUUACAGGAAACUCAGUGUUUGAA